Molecule: ribosomal RNA, 253 nt
Filed under: uncultured bacterium
Lineage: Bacteria
Description: partial 16S ribosomal RNA
Rfam family: Bacterial small subunit ribosomal RNA
Source: RNAcentral
UACGGAGGGUGCGAGCGUUAAUCGGAAUUACUGGGCGUAAAGGGUGCGUAGGUUGUUUGAUAAGUUAUCUGUAAAAUCCCCGGGCUUAACCUGGGCAGGUCAGAUAAGACUGUUGGACUUGAGUACAGGAGAGGGCAGUGGAAUUUCCGGUGUAGCGGUGAAAUGCGUAGAGAUCGGAAGGAACACCAGUGGCGAAGGCGGCUGCCUGGCCUGAUACUGACACUGAGGCACGAAAGCGUGGGGAGCAAACAGG